GACGAACGCUGGCGGCGUGCUUAACACAUGCAAGUCGAACGGUGAAGCGCCUUCCUUUUUGGUGGGUGUGGAUGAGUGGCGAACGGGUGAGUAACACGUGAGUAACCUGCCCCCUUCUUCUGGAUAACCGCAUGAAAGUGUGUCUAAUACGGGAUAUUCUGGGUCUGUCGCAUGAUGGGUCUGGGAAAGAUAUUGUUUCGGUGGGGGAUGGGCUCGCGGCCUAUCAGCUUGUUGGUGGGGUGAUGGCCUACCAAGGCGGUGACGGGUAGCCGGCCUGAGAGGGUGGACGGUCACACUGGGACUGAGACACGGCCCAGACUCCUACGGGAGGCAGCAGUGGGGAAUAUUGCACAAUGGGCGCAAGCCUGAUGCAGCGACGCCGCGUGAGGGAUGGAGGCCUUCGGGUUGUGAACCUCUUUCGCCAGUGAAGCAGGCCUGCCUCGUUUGUGGGUGGGUUGACGGUAGCUGGAUAAGAAGCGCCGGCUAACUACGUG
RNAcentral lists this ribosomal RNA (494 nucleotides) under uncultured bacterium. RNAcentral's name for it is "partial 16S ribosomal RNA". It matches the Rfam family "Bacterial small subunit ribosomal RNA", at positions 28 to 507 of the family's 1533-position model. The record is from RNAcentral.